RNAcentral lists this ribosomal RNA (492 nucleotides) under uncultured bacterium. RNAcentral describes it as "partial 16S ribosomal RNA". It matches the Rfam family "Bacterial small subunit ribosomal RNA", at positions 29 to 507 of the family's 1533-position model. The record is from RNAcentral.
AGUGAACGCUGGCGGUAGGCCUAACACAUGCAAGUCGAACGGCAGCACAGUAAGAGCUUGCUCUUACGGGUGGCGAGUGGCGGACGGGUGAGGAAUACAUCGGAAUCUACUUUUUCGUGGGGGGUAACGUAGGGAAACUUACGCUAAUACCGCAUACGACCUACUUGUGAAAGCAGGGGAUCUUCGUACCUUGCGCGAUUGAAUGAGCCGAUGUCGGAUUAGCUAGUUGGCGGGGUAGAGGCCCACCAAGGCGACGAUCCGUAGCUGGUCUGAGAGGAUGAUCAGCAACACUGGAACUGAGACACGGUCAAGACUCCUACGGGAGGCAGAAGUGGGGAAUAUUGGACAAUGGGCGCAAGCCUGAUCCAGCCCUACCGCGUGGGUGAAGAAGGCCUUCGGGUUGUAAAGCCCUUUUGUUGGGAAAGAAAAGCAGCAGGUUAAUACCCCGCUGUUCUGACGGUACCCAAAGAAUAAGCACCGGCUAACUUCGUG